UGUUAAUGCAUGUUAGAGACAUAGUAUAAUGGACUAUGCUCAAUGAAACAUACCACACACAAAAAGAAUAUGCAAAAGGUGUGGCCUAAUCACAUCCAUACUCAUGUCAAUUUUUAAAUUAACUAGCCUUAGGAUUAUGAGAUAUCAUAGGCCAAAUGGAAUGAAUGAAUGAAGAAAGGGAAUAAGAUGAAGUGGGAGGGGAACGGAUGAAAU
Molecule: long non-coding RNA, 213 nt
Filed under: Lathyrus oleraceus (garden pea)
Lineage: Eukaryota; Viridiplantae; Streptophyta; Magnoliopsida; Fabales; Fabaceae
Description: Pisum sativum (pea) long non-coding RNA (PSAT_LNC007199)
Source: RNAcentral